CCAUGUGAGAAUGAUCUGGCUAUGAUACCUGUCACCCCAUGAUUACCUGAGUUGAUUGGGCUACGCUUGCAGGCUGACCUAGUGUCCUUUACUUCCCCUCAAGACUCCUUGUGUGAUCCCAAACAUGGACAGAGAAGGCAAUUUCCAGGGAGAGAGGAACUGUUAUUUGAUAAGUGAUAUAAAUGAAGCUGAGCUUCUCUGCUGCCUGCCUUAAACAAUCUUGCAAGUUCCACUUGUAGUGUCCUACAAUUAUGAAAAAGUAGUAGUUUUAAAAUUUAUAUUUAUUAAAUAUUUUUCUUGC
RNAcentral lists this small nuclear RNA (301 nucleotides) under Choloepus hoffmanni (Hoffmann's two-fingered sloth). RNAcentral's name for it is "7SK RNA (ENSCHOG00000015730.1)". The record is from RNAcentral. Lineage: Eukaryota; Metazoa; Chordata; Mammalia; Pilosa; Megalonychidae.